Molecule: ribosomal RNA, 492 nt
Filed under: uncultured bacterium
Lineage: Bacteria
Description: partial 16S ribosomal RNA
Rfam family: Bacterial small subunit ribosomal RNA
Source: RNAcentral
AGUGAACGCUGGCGGUGGGCCUAACACAUGCAAGUCGAACGGCAGCACAGUAAGUGCUUGCUCUUACCGGUGGGGAGUGGCGGACGGGUCAGGAGUAUAUCGGAAUCUACUUUUUCGUGGGGGAUCACGUAGGGAAACUUACGCUAAUACAGCAUACGACGUACGGGUGAAAGCAGUGGAUCUUUGGACCUUGCGCGAUUGAAUGAGCCGAGGUCGGACUGGUUAGUUGGCGGGGUAAGUGCCCAGCCAGUGGCGGAUACGUAGCUGGUCUGAGAGGAUGGUCGGCCACACUGGAACGGGACCGGGGACCUGGCGCCUACGGGAGGCAGCAGUGGGGAAUAUUGGACAACAGGGGGAAGUCUUAUCCAGUGAGACCGCGUGGGAUACAGAGGCCUUCGGUGUGUAAAGCCCUUUUGUUGGGAAAAAAAAGCAGCAGGUUAAUACGCCGCGGUUCUGACGGUACCCAAAGAAGAAGCACCGGCUAACUACGUG